Molecule: ribosomal RNA, 451 nt
Filed under: uncultured bacterium
Lineage: Bacteria
Description: partial 16S ribosomal RNA
Rfam family: Bacterial small subunit ribosomal RNA
Source: RNAcentral
AGCGAACGCUGGCGGCAUGCCUAACACAUGCAAGUCGCACGGGGGGGCUUCGGCCUCCCAGUGGCGGACGGGUGAGGAACGCGUAGGGACCUGUCGAGGGGUGGGGGAUAACCGCGGGAAACUGCGGCUAAUACCGCAUGACGCCGCGGCGUGACAGCCGGGGCCAAAGGCGAAAGCCGCCCGCCGAGGGGCCUGCGUCCGAUUAGCUGGUUGGCGGGGUAGCGGCCCACCAAGGCGUCGAUCGGUAGCUGGUCUGAGAGGGUGAUCAGCCACACCGGGACUGAGACACGGCCCGGACUCCUACGGGAGGCAGCAGUGGGGAAUAUUGGACAAUGGGCGCAAGCCUGAUCCAGCAAUGCCGCGUGGGUGAAGAAGGUCUUCGGAUUAUAAAGCCCUUUCGGCGGGGACGAUGGUGACGGUACCCGCAGAAGAAGCCCCGGCUAACUUCGUG